RNAcentral lists this transfer RNA (76 nucleotides) under Bacillota bacterium. Its description in RNAcentral is "tRNA-Ala". It matches the Rfam family "tRNA". From Rfam's summary of the family: Transfer RNA (tRNA) molecules are approximately 80 nucleotides in length. Their secondary structure includes four short double-helical elements and three loops (D, anti-codon, and T loops). Lineage: Bacteria; Bacillati; Bacillota. The record is from RNAcentral.
GGGAUUGUAGCUCUAGCGGGAGAGCGCCUGGCUUGCAUCCAGGAGGUCGUGGGUUCAAAUCCCACCAGUUCCACCA